This 123-nucleotide small RNA is filed under the name Marmota monax (woodchuck). The record is from RNAcentral. Lineage: Eukaryota; Metazoa; Chordata; Mammalia; Rodentia; Sciuridae.
GCCAGGCACGGUGGCACAUGCCUGUAAUCCCAGUGACUUGGGAAGCUGAGGCAGGAGGAUCUUGAGUUCAAAGCCAGCCUCAGCAAUGGUGAGAUGCUAAGCAAGAGUGAGACCCUGUCUCUA